GUAGGUAUAGCUCAGUGGCAGAGCACAUGCUUAGCACACACGAGGUCCUGGGUUCAAUCCCCAGCACCUCCA
RNAcentral lists this transfer RNA (72 nucleotides) under Camelus bactrianus (Bactrian camel). It matches the Rfam family "tRNA". From Rfam's summary of the family: Transfer RNA (tRNA) molecules are approximately 80 nucleotides in length. Their secondary structure includes four short double-helical elements and three loops (D, anti-codon, and T loops). Further hydrogen bonds mediate the characteristic L-shaped molecular structure. tRNAs have two regions of fundamental functional importance: the anti-codon, which is responsible for specific mRNA codon recognition, and the 3' end, to which the tRNAs corresponding amino acid is attached (by aminoacyl-tRNA synthetases). tRNAs cope with the degeneracy of the genetic code in two manners: having more than one tRNA (with a specific anti-codon) for a particular amino acid; and 'wobble' base-pairing, i.e. permitting non-standard base-pairing at the 3rd anti-codon position. Lineage: Eukaryota; Metazoa; Chordata; Mammalia; Artiodactyla; Camelidae. RNAcentral also lists the same sequence under 2 other names. The record is from Rfam by way of RNAcentral.